RNAcentral lists this ribosomal RNA (1343 nucleotides) under uncultured bacterium. RNAcentral describes it as "16S ribosomal RNA". It matches the Rfam family "Bacterial small subunit ribosomal RNA", at positions 28 to 1378 of the family's 1533-position model. The record is from RNAcentral.
GACGAACGCUGGCGGCGUGCUUAACACAUGCAAGUCGAACGGAAAGGCCCUGCUUUUGUGGGGUGCUCGAGUGGCGAACGGGUGAGUAACACGUGAGUAACCUGCCCUUGACUUUGGGAUAACUUCAGGAAACUGGGGCUAAUACCGGAUAGGAGCUCCUGCUGCAUGGUGGGGGUUGGAAAGUUUCGGCGGUUGGGGAUGGACUCGCGGCUUAUCAGCUUGUUGGUGGGGUAGUGGCUUACCAAGGCUUUGACGGGUAGCCGGCCUGAGAGGGUGACCGGCCACAUUGGGACUGAGAUACGGCCCAGACUCCUACGGGAGGCAGCAGUGGGGAAUAUUGCACAAUGGGCGGAAGCCUGAUGCAGCAACGCCGCGUGCGGGAUGACGGCCUUCGGGUUGUAAACCGCUUUCGCCUGUGACGAAGCGUGAGUGACGGUAAUGGGUAAAGAAGCACCGGCUAGCUACGUGCCAGCAGCCGCGGUGAUACGUAGGGUGCGAGCGUUGUCCGGAUUUAUUGGGCGUAAAGGGCUCGUAGGUGGUUGAUCGCGUCGGAAGUGUAAUCUUGGGGCUUAACCCUGAGCGUGCUUUCGAUACGGGUUGACUUGAGGAAGGUAGGGGAGAAUGGGAUUCCUGGUGGAGCGGUGGAAUGCGCAGAUAUCAGGAGGAACACCAGUGGCGAAGGCGGUUCUCUGGGCCUUUCCUGACGCUGAGGAGCGAAAGCGUGGGGAGCGAACAGGCUUAGAUACCCUGGUAGUCCACGCUGUAAACGGUGGGUACUAGGUGUGGGGUCCAUUCCACGGGUUCCGUGCCGUAGCUAACGCUUUAAGUACCCCGCCUGGGGAGUACGGCCGCAAGGCUAAAACUCAAAGGAAUUGACGGGGCCCCGCACAAGCGGCGGAGCAUGCGGAUUAAUUCGAUGCAACGCGUAGAACCUUACCUGGGUUUGACAUGGAUCGGGAGUGCUCAGAGAUGGGUGUGCCUCUUUUGGGGUCGGUUCACAGGUGGUGCAUGGCUGUCGUCAGCUCGUGUCGUGAGAUGUUGGGUUAAGUCCCGCAACGAGCGCAACCCUUGUUCACUGUUGCCAGCACGUUAUGGUGGGGACUCAGUGGAGACCGCCGGGGUCAACUCGGAGGAAGGUGGGGAUGACGUCAAGUCAUCAUGCCCCUUAUGUCCAGGGCUUCACGCAUGCUACAAUGGCUGGUACAGAGAGUGGCGAGCCUGUGAGGGUGAGCGAAUCUCGGAAAGCCGGUCUCAGUUCGGAUUGGGGUCUGCAACUCGACCUCAUGAAGUCGGAGUCGCUAGUAAUCGCAGAUCAGCAACGCUGCGGUGAAUACGUUCCCGGG